GACGAACGCUGGCGGCAGGCUUAACACAUGCAAGUCGAACGCCCCGCAAGGGGAGUGGCGCACGGGUGAGUAACGCGUGGAUAUCUGCCUUUUGGUUCGGAAUAACCCCGGGAAACUGGGGCUAAUACCGGAUGGUUCCUACGGGAUAAAGAUUUAUCGCCAAAAGAUGAGUCCGCGUACGAUUAGCUAGUUGGUGAGGUAAUGGCUCACCAAGGCGACGAUCGUUAGCUGGUCUGAGAGGACGAUCAGCCACACUGGGACUGAGACACGGCCCAGACUCCUACGGGAGGCAGCAGUGGGGAAUAUUGGACAAUGGGGGCAACCCUGAUCCAGCCAUGCCGCGUGAGUGAUGAAGGCCUUCGGGUUGUAAAGCUCUUUUGGCGGGGACGAUGAUGACGGUACCCGCAGAAUAAGCCCCGGCUAACUUCGUG
This 431-nucleotide ribosomal RNA is filed under the name uncultured bacterium. RNAcentral describes it as "partial 16S ribosomal RNA". It matches the Rfam family "Bacterial small subunit ribosomal RNA", at positions 28 to 507 of the family's 1533-position model. The record is from RNAcentral.